UUCUAUGAUGAAUAAAAUCAAAUCACCAUCUUUCGGCUGA
Microcebus murinus (gray mouse lemur) is the source of this 40-nucleotide small nucleolar RNA. Lineage: Eukaryota; Metazoa; Chordata; Mammalia; Primates; Cheirogaleidae. The record is from Ensembl.